Erinaceus europaeus (western European hedgehog) is the source of this 278-nucleotide unclassified non-coding RNA. Its record names the gene 7SK. It matches the Rfam family "7SK RNA". From Rfam's summary of the family: 7SK was discovered as an abundant small nuclear RNA in the mid-70s but a possible function has only recently been suggested. Two independent studies have found that 7SK RNA binds the CDK9/cyclin T complex (known as elongation factor P-TEFb). NCBI's taxonomy places the organism in Eukaryota, Metazoa, Chordata, Mammalia, Eulipotyphla, Erinaceidae. The record is from Ensembl.
GGAUGUAAGAGCAAUCUGACUGUGACAUCUAUAACCCAAUUGAUCACCAGAGUUGAUUCAGCUUAUCUGGCUGGCUAGGUGUGUCCCCUUCCUCCUUCACUGUUCCAUGUGUGUCCCUCCCAGACAGGCUUCCUCAAAUAAAUAUGGACUGUGUUUGGUUGAGAGAGUAUGAGUAGCUGUGCUCCCCUACUAGAACCACCAAACGAGCUCUCAAAAAGCUAGACUCUAACUUCUUAGGCUGGCCAAAAGACACAGAACUCUAGAAUUCUGAAGACUCU